This 253-nucleotide ribosomal RNA is filed under the name uncultured bacterium. Its description in RNAcentral is "partial 16S ribosomal RNA". It matches the Rfam family "Bacterial small subunit ribosomal RNA", at positions 524 to 776 of the family's 1533-position model. The record is from RNAcentral.
UACGUAGGGGGCGAGCGUUGUCCGGAUUCAUUGGGCGUAAAGAGCUCGUAGGCGGCUUGGCAAGUCGGGUGUGAAAACUCGAGGCUCAACCUCGAGACGUCGGCGGAAACCAUCUGGCUAGAGUCCGGAAGAGGAGAGUGGAAUUCCUGGUGUAGCGGUGAAAUGCGCAGAUAUCAGGAAGAACACCCGUGGCGAAGGCGGCUCUCUGGGACGGUACUGACGCUGAGACGCGAAAGCGUGGGGAGCGAACAGG